This 319-nucleotide ribosomal RNA is filed under the name uncultured bacterium. RNAcentral's name for it is "bacterial SSU rRNA". It matches the Rfam family "Bacterial small subunit ribosomal RNA", at positions 28 to 346 of the family's 1533-position model. The record is from RNAcentral.
GACGAACGCUGGCGGCGUGCUUAAUACAUGCAAGUCAACUGAACUUAAGGUAGUAAUAUCUUAAGAGAGGUGGCGCACGGGUGAGUAACACGUAGGUAAUCUGCCUUUAGGUCUGACACAACCUAUCGAAAGGUAGGCUAAUAUCAGAUGAUGCAGCGGCUCGACAUCGAGACAGUUGUUAAACCUCGGGGCCUAAAGAUGAGCCUGCGUCUGAUUAGGAGUUGGCGGAGUAAAAGCCCACCAAGCCUGCGAUCAGUAGCUGGUCUGAGAGGAUGAUCAGCCACACUGGAACUGAGACACGGUCCAGACUCCUACGGGA